Molecule: ribosomal RNA, 584 nt
Filed under: uncultured bacterium
Lineage: Bacteria
Description: bacterial SSU rRNA
Rfam family: Bacterial small subunit ribosomal RNA
Source: RNAcentral
GAGGGGCAGCGGGGUUGUAGCAAUACAACUGCCGGCGACCGGCGCACGGGUGAGUAACACGUAUGUAACCUGCCCUCUGCAGGGGGAUAAGCGGAAGAAAUUCCGUCUAAUACCGCAUAAUACAAUUUGGAGACAUCUCCGGGUUGUCAAAGGAGUGAUCCGGCAGAGGAUGGACAUGCGGCGCAUUAGCUAGUCGGCGGGGUAACGGCCCACCGAGGCUACGAUGCGUAGGGGUUCUGAGAGGAAGGUCCCCCACACUGGUACUGAGACACGGACCAGACUCCUACGGGAGGCAGCAGUGAGGAAUAUUGGUCAAUGGGCGGAAGCCUGAACCAGCCAAGCCGCGUGAGGGAAGACGGUCCUAUGGAUUGUAAACCUCUUUUGCAGGGGAGCAAGGCGCGGUACGUGUACCGCGAAGGAGAGUACCCUGAGAAAAAGCAUCGGCUAACUCCGUGCCAGCAGCCGCGGUAAUACGGAGGAUGCGAGCGUUAUCCGGAUUUAUUGGGUUUAAAGGGUGCGCAGGCGGACUGUUAAGUCAGCGGUAAAAUGUCGGUGCUCAACACCGGCCGGCCGUUGAAACUGGC